CGGCCGCGUCGACCACCGGAAUAGCUCCUGGAAACGGGUGGUAAUGCCGGAUGCUCCAGUUGGAUGCAUGUCCUUCUGGGAAAGAUUCAUCGGUAUGGGAUGGGGUCGCGUCCUAUCAGCUUGAUGGCGGGUAACGGCCCACCAUGGCUACGUGUAGCCGGCCUGAGAGGGCGACCGGCCACAUUGGGACUGAGAUACGGCCCAGACUCCUACGGGACGCAGCAGUGGGGAAUAUUGCACAAUGGGCGCAAGCCUGAUGCAGCGACGCCGCGUGCGGGAUGACGGCCUUCGGGUUGUAAACCGCUUUUGACUGGGAGCAAGCCCUUCGGGGUGAGUUUACCUUUCGAAUCAGCAUCGGCUAACUCCGUGCCAGCAGCCGCGGUAAGACGGAGGAUGCAAGCGUUAUCCGGAAUGGUUGGGCGUAAAGCGUCCGCAGGUGGCAGUUCAAGUCUGCUGUCAAA
Molecule: ribosomal RNA, 461 nt
Filed under: uncultured bacterium
Lineage: Bacteria
Description: bacterial SSU rRNA
Rfam family: Bacterial small subunit ribosomal RNA
Source: RNAcentral